Molecule: long non-coding RNA, 280 nt
Organism: Fopius arisanus
Lineage: Eukaryota; Metazoa; Arthropoda; Insecta; Hymenoptera; Braconidae
Exons: 3
Source: RefSeq, a predicted model, not a curated record
CCUUUUUCUUAUUCUUUUUAUCCUUGCCAUCGACUGUCCUGGAAGGAGAAAAUUGGAUUUUUUAAAAUUAAGGGGCCGGCGGGGAGAUUUCAAGAUUUUGGGCAGAAUAUGAGAACAUGAGAUUAUUUUCAACCCGUCAUUCUACUAGCCGAAUUUAAUUAUACGUGGUCACUUGAUCUUUCGUCCUAAGGCAAAUUUUGGUGUUCGCGGCUAUAAUGAAUAAAAUUAGGAGACAUAAAGAAGAUAAUUAAGCAGAGCUUGUUAAGACUUUAAUAUCUUC